AGAGUUUGAUCAUGGCUCAGAUUGAACGCUGGCGGCAGGCCUAACACAUGCAAGUCGAGCGGUAGAGAGAAGCUUGCUUCUCUUGAGAGCGGCGGACGGGUGAGUAAUGCCUAGGAAUCUGCCUGGUAGUGGGGGAUAACGUCCGGAAACGGACGCUAAUACCGCAUACGUCCUACGGGAGAAAGCAGGGGACCUUCGGGCCUUGCGCUAUCAGAUGAGCCUAGGUCGGAUUAGCUAGUUGGUGGGGUAAUGGCUCACCAAGGCGACGAUCCGUAACUGGUCUGAGAGGAUGAUCAGUCACACUGGAACUGAGACACGGUCCAGACUCCUACGGGAGGCAGCAGUGGGGAAUAUUGGACAAUGGGCGAAAGCCUGAUCCAGCCAUGCCGCGUGUGUGAAGAAGGUCUUCGGAUUGUAAAACACUUUAAGUUGGGAGGAAGGGCAGUAAAUUAAUACUUUGCUGUUUUGACGUUACCGACAGAAUAGGCACCGGCUAACUCUGUGCCAGCAGCCGCGGUAAUACAGAGGGUGCAAGCGUUAAUCGGAAUUACUGGGCGUAAAGCGCGCGUAGGUGGUCCGUUAAGUUGGAUGUGAAAUCCCCGGGCUCAACCUGGGAACUGCAUUCAAAACUGACGAGCUAGAGUAUGGUAGAGGGUGGUGGAAUUUCCUGUGUAGCGGUGAAAUGCGUAGAUAUAGGAAGGAACACCAGUGGCGAAGGCGACCACCUGGACUGAUACUGACACUGAGGUGCGAAAGCGUGGGGAGCAAACAGGAUUAGAUACCCCGGUAGUCCAA
Molecule: ribosomal RNA, 795 nt
Filed under: uncultured bacterium
Lineage: Bacteria
Description: bacterial SSU rRNA
Rfam family: Bacterial small subunit ribosomal RNA
Source: RNAcentral